This 42-nucleotide transfer RNA is filed under the name Veronica vandellioides. Its description in RNAcentral is "partial tRNA-Leu". Lineage: Eukaryota; Viridiplantae; Streptophyta; Magnoliopsida; Lamiales; Plantaginaceae. The record is from RNAcentral.
CUUUUACAAAUGUAGGUAUUGGGGCGUAAAUAACUUUCUAUU